Molecule: ribosomal RNA, 373 nt
Filed under: uncultured eukaryote
Lineage: Eukaryota
Description: partial 18S ribosomal RNA
Rfam family: Eukaryotic small subunit ribosomal RNA
Source: RNAcentral
CAAUAGCGUAUAUUAAAGUUGUUGCAGUUAAAAAGCUCGUAGUUGAAUUUUUGCUUGCCGCCGAUGUCGGAACUUCCGUACGUUCGGCGGCGUGCAUCCUUGGGUGGAACCUGUCUGGCAUUAGGUUGUCGGGCAGAGGAUCCUCAUCGUUUACUGUGAAAAAAUUAGAGUGUUCAAAGCAGGCUUAUGCCGUUGAAUAUAUUAGCAUGGAAUAAUAAGAUAGGACUUUGGUACUAUUUUGUUGGUUUGCGCACCAAAGUAAUGAUUAAUAGGGACAGUUGGGGGUAUUCGUAUUCCGUUGUCAGAGGUGAAAUUCUUGGAUUUACGGAAGACGAACUACUGCGAAAGCAUUUACCAAGGAUGUUUUCAUUAA